ACAGGGGCAAGUACAGAGAUGAGAACAAUGUUAAAGGGAUUAUAGUGUUCACAAUACUACAUUGGAAUUGUAUGAGAUAAUUGAGUUAAGAUUGAUAUAAGCAGCAUGGAAUAAAGCAAAAUAGUUUGGGAAAUCUUACCCCAAAUGACAAGUUUUAAAGAAAUAGCUUCUUUUUUGUAAUCAACUCUCAAUUAUUUACAGCACAAUAUCCUCAUUAAUGAAUUAUUCUUCGCUUUUACUAUCCUUUUGUCCAGUUCGUGGCCAUUUUUCUUCUAAUUAGAAAUUCCAUACUAAUGUCAGAGAGUUGAUAAAGAAAAAAGAAGUAAAAAUUAAGAUUUGUCUUCUUCAUGAGUUUAUUCCUCGCUCAUUCCAGUUGACAUGUUUAAAUUCUGAUCUGGAGUAUUUCCAAAAUUACCCAAUUUUAAAAUGUCAUAUUCUUUUUAAUUAACUGGCAAAUUAAUUGAGCACAUUUUCUUUCUUU
Molecule: long non-coding RNA, 481 nt
Filed under: Homo sapiens (human)
Lineage: Eukaryota; Metazoa; Chordata; Mammalia; Primates; Hominidae
Description: long non-coding RNA NONHSAT154827
Source: RNAcentral